CUGUUUCUGUUGAUGAUCCGCUGUUGAAGAUGAUGAUGAUGAUAAGCUGAUGAUGAUGACAGAGAACAGACGAUGGCGGUGUGUCUCUGACGAGCUCCGUUUCAGCAGGUUCUGGUCAACAGUGACAACUGGUCAGCGUGUUCGAGAUACAUUAGUUUCAGUUCGGUUGACUCGGUCGAACCGAGUCAACCUGGUCAAGCCUGGUCAACUCAGCGAGUCAACUCGGUCAACCCAGUCGACUCGGUCAACUCAGUCAAACGUCGAGAACGUGAAAGACCCGGUAAAGUUAGCGUAGCGAAUUAGUCUACGUUAGAUUUUAUUUACUAUACGCGAACCGAGCUCGACCCGACUAACUAACGGUUUUACAUAUAGUGAUUUUGUUUCGUAUUCGACGUUUUGAUAUAUUUAACGUAAAAAUUAUAUAAUGUUUGUUGAGUGA
Molecule: long non-coding RNA, 439 nt
Organism: Helianthus annuus (common sunflower)
Lineage: Eukaryota; Viridiplantae; Streptophyta; Magnoliopsida; Asterales; Asteraceae
Exons: 2
Source: RefSeq, a predicted model, not a curated record